AAUGGCCUAGGAUUUCGUGAUAUUGAACUUUUCAAUUUAGCUCUUUUGGCACGACAAGCUUGAAGGGUGCUCAUGGAACCUACCUCUCUUAAUGCACGCAUACUAAAAGAAAAAUACUUUCCCUGAUGUGAUUUCGUGCAGGCUAAACCAGGAGGCUCUCUGUCACAUAUUUGGCCAUCUAUCAUUGAUGGUAGAGACACAUUGACAUAAGGGCCUAUGAGACGCAUAGGAGAUGGGAAAACCACGAAUAUGUGGAAUCAUAAUUGGUUACUCUGGGAUUCUAAUAUGCGACCGAUCGUGAGUCCUGUUGCAAAUCCGCCACAGAUGGUUAGUGAGUUAAUGACAAUCAAUACGGAGUGGGACACAGACCGGUUAGCUCAAAUUUAUUUGCCAACUGAUGUUGAGACCAUUUGUUCCAUACCGGUGUGCACGAAGCAGAUUGACGACUUCUGGUCUUGGGUCCAUGAGAGAAAUUGUCAGAGUUAA
This 486-nucleotide ribosomal RNA is filed under the name Triticum aestivum (bread wheat). RNAcentral describes it as "partial small subunit ribosomal RNA". The record is from RNAcentral. Lineage: Eukaryota; Viridiplantae; Streptophyta; Magnoliopsida; Poales; Poaceae.